AUCUUUGCAGGAUCUGAAAUGUACUCAGACUGGUGUGAGUAGUGAGGAUGGAGAAGUCCACAGCAGCAUACUGGAAAUGGUCCAGUCAGUGCCAUGGAUGAGACGCUCCAUCACUCCACCUCUUACUGCCUCAUCUGGGCCAGAUGUUGCUGUGGUCUCUUCAUCCUCAGUGAACCCAGAGCCAGCUGGAGCAUCUAGAGAAACACCAAAAGACACUGAGGAUGGACCUACAAUCCCCUGGAACGACCUGGAUUGCUCAAGGACAUACUGGUGGUUUUGAACCAGCAACCUUCUGCUCACCAGUUCAGUGGUUUAGCCCACUACAAAAGUAGUCGUGCUCAUGGAAAGCAGCACACAAAUGUUUGGAGCAGACACAGUGGCAGCCAGAUUGUCCCACAUGUGUUCCCCUGCUCUUGCUUCUAGGUUGUGUGGUUCAGAGAGCCGUCAUCAUGGUCUUCCUCAUCCUCUUGCUCAACGAUGUCCCCAUUGAGAAGAGCGAGAUUGUGAAGCAAAGCGCAGCAGCAGAACUGUCUCAGCUGUGUUGAGAUGGCAGUAGGAUCUGGGAUUCACCAUCUGUAAAUACAUGAUUGUUAGAACAAUAAGUUUGAAUUAAGCUUUGUUUCAUCUGUUGUUGACUUAUAUAUGUAUGUAUUUAUUGUGAUGCUUGCUUUUCAUUCCUUUACUCAUUUAUUCAUGUUUCUUGUUGUUGUCAGUAAAUAAAAUAUUAAUAUUUUAUUAAUUCAUGUAUUAAUUGCUUGAUUGAAAAUUGAUGUA
RNAcentral lists this long non-coding RNA (774 nucleotides) under Sinocyclocheilus anshuiensis. Its description in RNAcentral is "lncRNA (ENSSANG00000008416.1)". Lineage: Eukaryota; Metazoa; Chordata; Actinopteri; Cypriniformes; Cyprinidae. The record is from RNAcentral.